Lentinula raphanica is the source of this 73-nucleotide non-coding RNA. The record is from the annotation of a GenBank genome assembly. Lineage: Eukaryota; Fungi; Basidiomycota; Agaricomycetes; Agaricales; Omphalotaceae.
GGCCCAGUAGCUCAGUGGUAGAGCACUGCACAGGAAAGGCAGGAGGCGCAAGUUCAAUCCCUGGCUUUGGCCG